UGGUGGAGUGAUUUGUCUGGUUAAUUCCGUUAACGAACGAGACCUCAGCCUGCUAACUGGUUACACGAAGGAUCCUCUUCGUGGCCAACUUCUUAGAGGGACUAUGGCCGUCUAGGCCAUGGAAGUUUGAGGCAAUAACA
Molecule: ribosomal RNA, 140 nt
Filed under: uncultured eukaryote
Lineage: Eukaryota
Description: partial 18S ribosomal RNA
Rfam family: Eukaryotic small subunit ribosomal RNA
Source: RNAcentral